RNAcentral lists this long non-coding RNA (728 nucleotides) under Fukomys damarensis (Damara mole-rat). RNAcentral's name for it is "lncRNA (ENSFDAG00000025594.1)". Lineage: Eukaryota; Metazoa; Chordata; Mammalia; Rodentia; Bathyergidae. The record is from RNAcentral.
GCAGCAGACACGGCAAACUUCGGUGGGGGACAUGCUUGUGUCGACAGGCAGACUGCAUUUCAGUUAAUUAAGGGGCUGUAAUUGUUGUCCAGGACAAGGGUCCCCAGGGCACAGGCUUUGUAAAUAACUAGCCUCCACUGCCCCCACCUCUUGCCCUGGCCAUCCCUGCCCACGCUUCUUCCCAGGCCUCCGCAGCCAGGUACAAAAGAAGCCACAUUAGCACAGCCUUUGAAGCUUGCCUUUGAAAUCCUCACUCCUGGGUUUGUGCCAGACGAGCUCAGACAUCAUUGCUCCCCAACCACCACGGAUGCCACUGCGGGCUUCUGGCUUCCAACCUGUGAUCAAUGUGUCGUGGCCCCACCCCGCCGUGCAGUCUUUCUAGUCCCCAGGUUGGGAGUAACUGCCACUGAGGACACAAAGGGACCUCAGCAGGGCACGAGCUCCCGUUUCAGAGGACUCCAAAUAUGUACCAACCAUCUAUCACCUGCCAGGUGUGUCCCACAUGUGGAUGGCCUCAUUUCUUCCCUGCUGCUGUUGUGGUAGCCUAAGUCCCAGUUUACAGACAAGGAAACUGAGAUUUUGAGAAGUUAAACAACGUAUCCCAGGAUUUAGGAUUGAAGCGCUUCUGAUCCCCAUUGGAAAGUCUUUUAUCUAAAAGAUCACUUCCAGUUCCUUAUCACAAUGAACAACUAUGCUUCCGCCCCCCAAGCCAACAUGUCAUGAAAGGC